UAACUUCAGGCCCCCAUGCCCUUUCUUUUUCUUAGCAGGGUUCUCACUGAAGUCAGAGGCAGAGAUGGGCCUGUGACCAGAGGCAGCUCUUCAGGUACAGAACUCCCGCACUUCAAAGAUCAGUGAUUUUUUUCUGUCUGGACAUCCCAUCAACCAAUGUAGCUCUCGGGAUGGAGAAUUUGACCUAGAAAAAGAUCGUCACUUGCCUAAAGUUGCAUAAUAAACUAAUGGCAACUCUACAGCUGCUUCCAAAGGAGGAAUUGUGUAAGGGCUCAUGAACACUGAAAAGGUCUACAGAGAAAAAAAAUUUGUGUCUGUACUCUGAUAUAAUUGGGAUUAGGUCCCAACAUGGUAUAAGGAAGAGAUGCUCUGUAAGGGUCAGAGCAUUUGAAUUCAAAAUCAUGAUCCCGAGUGAGUUGUGUAAUCUUUCUGAGUGUCAAUUUUUUGGGCAACUAAAUGACACAAUAAAUAGAGCACUGGAUCUACAGUCAAGAAUACCUGAGUUUGAAUCCUGCUUUGGAAAUGUAAUAACAAU
This is a long non-coding RNA of Sarcophilus harrisii (Tasmanian devil), 535 nucleotides long. RefSeq lists it as uncharacterized. Lineage: Eukaryota; Metazoa; Chordata; Mammalia; Dasyuromorphia; Dasyuridae. The record is from RefSeq and is a predicted model, not a curated record. The transcript has 4 exons.